This 1871-nucleotide unclassified non-coding RNA is filed under the name Limulus polyphemus (Atlantic horseshoe crab). RNAcentral describes it as "hemicentin-1-like, transcript variant X2". The record is from RNAcentral. Lineage: Eukaryota; Metazoa; Arthropoda; Merostomata; Xiphosura; Limulidae.
GUCGCCGUGGCUGAUGGAAAGAUAACUUUGCCAUGUAACAUCACUCCUUCCAUAAUGGAAGACACCUUGGAACUGGCCUUGUGGUACAAAGAUGACUCCGCUAAACCUAUUUAUAGCUUAGAUGGAAGAACUGGAAAUGUACGCCAAGCACGGCACUCUUCCUCCAAAUCUCUGUCGGGCAGAGCCUACUUCAGUACGGUGGACAGACCAGCUGUCCUCGUCAUAGAUCCUGUCAUACCCGAAGACGAGGGAAGUUACAGAUGCCGAGUGGAUUUCCAUCGAGAGCGAACGAGACAUUUUGAGCUGUACGUCAUGGUUAUUGUGCCUCCUACAGAAAUUGUAAUAAAGAACCAGAAAGGAGAGAUCUUAGAAAACGUAAUUGGCCCAUUAAACGAAGGAGAAACGUGCCUAUUAAUAUGUGAGGUGACUGGAGAAUAUAUUUUUGGACCAAACGCCUCAAAAUACUACAGUUUCUUGUUGUCAGGUAAACCUUCACCGUUGGUAACGUGGUGGAAAGACAACAUUCUAUUGGAUGACAGUUAUGAGACGACCUCUAGUGGCAGAGUUCGAAACGAGUUAAUUAUUCCGGAGCUGAAGAGACAUCAUCUGAUGGUAGUGCUAAUGUGUCAGGCUGUUAAUAACAAUAUAUCUCUCCCUCUAUCGGCCUACGUCACGCUCAACAUGAAUUUUAGGCCCUUGACUGUAACUAUAAAGCAGAAAGGACUGCCCUUGUCUUCAGGGAAAAUGGUCCAGCUUGAGUGCCGCACCUCAGGCUCACGUCCUCCGGCAGAAAUCACAUGGUGGAAAGGGUCAACACAGCUGAGAUCCACUAAAAAUCGCACUAACAAAGAUGAGACUUUGACCACUAGUUUCCUCACCAUACGGUCUUCCAUGGAGGACAACGGAAAGUACUUGUCUUGUAAAGCUGAAAAUCGUUUAAUACAGGAUAGUACCAUAGAAGACGGCUGGGUGCUGGAAGUGUACCAUCCACCGGAACUUACGUUAAGACUCGGCAGCAAGCUACGUCACUCUCACAUCCAGGUCGGAAAUGACGUGUACCUAGAGUGUAACAUUAGGGCUAAUCCUUGGGUGACCGAAAUAGGCUGGAAGUUUGAAGGACGCGAGCUCCAGACCGACACAACCGUGGGUGUCAUUGUCAGCAAUCAGUCCCUGGUUUUACAAAAAGUACAACGCUCCAGCAGAGGGCGCUAUAUGUGUUUUGCAAAAAACUCCGAGGGCUUAGGGGAGAGUAAUGUCUUACACUUACGUGUUCAAUGUAAGUAGCAAACUUUGUUGUACAAGUUAGUUUUACGUUGCUUCUUCUGUUAUAGAAUUCAUGUUCAUUCAUUCCAAAAAACAUCUUCAAGUUGCUCUUAGCUGUUCAGAAAGAUACAUCACUAUCUGUGAAUAGAACAUAAAACUGGACAUGUAUGUGGUUCUGAUGUUUAGGUAGAAACAUGAGUUCUUAUGAAUAGAACAUAAAACUGGACAUGUAUGUGGUUCGGAUGUUUAAGUAGAAACAUGAAUUCUUAUGAAUAGAACAUAAAACUGGACAUGUAUGUGGUUCGGAUGUUUAAGUAGAAACAUGAAUUCUUAUGAAUAGAACAUAAAACUGGACAUGUAUGUGGUUCGGAUGUUUAGGUAGAAACAUGAUUUCUUAUGAAUAGAACACAAAACUGGACAUGUAUGUGGUUCGGAUGUUUAAGUAGAAACAUGAAUUCUUAUGAAUAGAACAUAAAACUGGACAUGUAUGUGGUUCGGAUGUUUAGGUAGAAACAUGAUUUCUUACGAAUAGAACACAAAACUGAACAUUUAUUUGGUUUGGAUGUUUAGGUAGAAACAUCAUUGUCAGGUUUUGUUUUUGUGGAUUU